RNAcentral lists this ribosomal RNA (339 nucleotides) under Vibrio parahaemolyticus. RNAcentral's name for it is "bacterial SSU rRNA". It matches the Rfam family "Bacterial small subunit ribosomal RNA", at positions 93 to 435 of the family's 1533-position model. Lineage: Bacteria; Pseudomonadati; Pseudomonadota; Gammaproteobacteria; Vibrionales; Vibrionaceae. The record is from RNAcentral.
GAGCGGCGGACGGGUGAGUAAUGCCUAGGAAAUUGCCCUGAUGUGGGGGAUAACCAUUGGAAACGAUGGCUAAUACCGCAUGAUGCCUACGGGCCAAAGAGGGGGACCUUCGGGCCUCUCGCGUCAGGAUAUGCCUAGGUGGGAUUAGCUAGUUGGUGAGGUAAGGGCUCACCAAGGCGACGAUCCCUAGCUGGUCUGAGAGGAUGAUCAGCCACACUGGAACUGAGACACGGUCCAGACUCCUACGGGAGGCAGCAGUGGGGAAUAUUGCACAAUGGGCGCAAGCCUGAUGCAGCCAUGCCGCGUGUGUGAAGAAGGCCUUCGGGUUGUAAAGCACUU